CGAUCUCGUAGCGGGGGUAGCGCAGCGCGGUCAUCGCCUGCACGGCCGGGACGAUGCCGGCACCCUCGUUGUAAGCGGGGACGAUCAC
RNAcentral lists this transfer RNA (88 nucleotides) under Paractinoplanes abujensis. RNAcentral describes it as "Actinoplanes abujensis tRNA-Asp". The record is from RNAcentral. Lineage: Bacteria; Bacillati; Actinomycetota; Actinomycetes; Micromonosporales; Micromonosporaceae.